CGGGGAUAACAGGAGUGUAUAUUUUAUAAGAUGGUUGGAAGAAUUAAAUCAUGUCUCCCCACUGGGUAGCCAGGCGCCUACCACGUAUAGGCGCUGAUAAAUUAUCAUUAGUGUUGUGAUUACUAGGGCAGAUCUCAGCAGCCCUCCGCUCAUCUGUUUUUCACGUCGCAGUUCCACGAGGAAACGUAUACUGAAGGAAAAAGCCAGCUUUUGAAAAAGAAGAGAGAAAUCGGUAACUGGGUUCUGUAAGGGCGGUUUCUGUCUUCAACGAGAAGGAUUCAAUCUAGGAGACCGCAUUGCGUUUAAUUAUCACAUCUCUUCAGUCUCCUCCAAUAAGUGACAGUUUCUUCAUCCUUCCUUGUCUUUCAUGACCUUGACACUGAAAUGUGCUCAUUUAAAAAUCAAUGUGGUCACACUCUCCUCCAGGAGCGGGAUUCCAUGAAAAGUUGGGGGCAGUCAGCUCUUACAGAAGGUAAUCUGUCCGAUGACGAAGACGUUUUCGAAGCCGGGACACCCCCUUGCCCUUUGGGGCUUCUUUCAUCCUCCACCUGCCUCCCCUUCUUAUUUCCAAUCCAGUUCGUCUUCCUGCUGUGAUUCAGCUGAAAUGACUAUUCGCUAUUAACGAAGAGUUUCUGUCUACAGUCCAAAUUGGUACUUGCUGGUUACCGAACAGGAAAAUGCAACACACAGCCAGAGUGAAAGGCUUUCAAUUGGUUUUGUGGAGAAGGCCACUCACUACCUGGCCGCUCUGCAUCUGCCAGCACAUGAACUCUGCUACAAUCAACCGUGGCACUGGUGCUUGAGAGACUUUUAAACCCAGGGCUGCUAAACCACUCACAUUUCAAAAAAUAAUACUACAGCCAAACACAAAACAAACCUGACUUAGCUAGCGGGAAGUGAGGCUUUAUUGAUGCAUUCGCCUUGUGGUCUAAAAUGGGGUUUUAAUAAAUUUAUGCUCUGGUAGACACAUUCAGAGCCCCAGUAUUUUAUAUCUGGGUUGCUGCCCUCCUGCCAAGGCUUAGCACUCUUCAUGUCCCUCAGGGUCCCUGGGAAGGCGAAAUGUACGCUUAUCACUACUUAGAAUGCUACUUGCCUUGGGGGCUCUCUCCACAAAUACCAAAUGUAUUACAUCUAGUGUGAACAGGUCAACUCGCUCUCCGCCAUCUCUGCGGUUGCCUUAUUUUCGUCAAUAAAUUUAAAGAUAAAUUCUCAAGUUGGAAAUCACCAUACUCAGAUGCAAAUACAGUGAAGACUCAUCCAUCCAGACUCCACUAAUUCCAAAUCCGUGAUGAUUCUUCAUAAAAGGUAGAACGCUUUAAAUAAAAAAUUGGACAUUAUGUCUUUUUCUAUGAAUUUUUAGUUUGCUCGGGGGUAAAGUAAAUCUAUUCAGAUGUCAGUAGCUACUUCAAAAGAAAGAUUGAUCUUAUGAAAUUGAAGAUUUUUCUAAUAUACUUUUGGAUCCAGAGAUUUUUGUGUGGUAAGGGAUUCUGACAUUUGAUAUAUUACAGUGUGAUGGUACAAUUUAUUACUUGGUUGAUAAUAGGUUCCAUCUUUGAACAUAAUGGAGCCACUUCUUUAAAACUGAUGUACAGUGUAGAAGUUUUACUGUCAGCUGAACUUUCUCCCCAAUUGCAUUCUAAGCUGUUUGAAUUGAAGGAUCGUGCAUUUUAUAUUUUUUGUGUCCCUAACCCACUCUCUCAGUCGUUUCUUCAUCGUGGGGCUCAGAAAAGUGCCUAACACAUAGGAAAUGCUCAGUAAAACUUUUCCUCGAGUAUUUGUGAGACUUGAUUAUUCUGAACAUAUGUGUUUGAACCACUUGAAAGCAGCUAGAUCAGCUCUUGUUAGUGUCUUAUCUAUCUAGUUUAAAAAAGUCUCUCAUUAAAUUGUUUGCUUUAUGUUUUGCAGUGUGAGUAUAGUAUCAGGAUGAUUUGACUGCAAGUAACUAAGAAUCAAACAAAAAAUGGCCUAAACAAAGAAGCAAAUUUAUUACCUCAUGUUAGAAGAAGUUUGGGGGUUGAGUGGGUAAAAGGUUUUUGAUUUAGAAAGAAACUCGACAAUAACAUCCCAGACCAUGUCCACGGUGGCAGCGACAGCCCUUGAUCCCUCAGGCUUGCAUGAUGGCUGCAGCGGUUGCAGCAAAGAUAGCCUCACAGAGCAGUGUUCCAAGACCAGGGAGGGCCUCCUUUCUUCUCUCACUUUCUGGAGGCUCACAGACUUCUCUUCACGCGUCACUGGCAAGGGGAAUGGAUUUAUCCCGUGGGUGCAGACAACUAAGAUACAUCCCUAAGCCAUAAGGAGGCCCAAUCUCUGGAAAACAUUUGGCACUCAAUUCAUAAACCAAGCUGGCACCCUGGCCAGAAAGAGGCGAAAGUAAUAACCAUUCCGUAUGGACAACAGUGUCUGCCACAAGUCACAUGUCUUACUGAGGAAAGCUGAU
Molecule: long non-coding RNA, 2437 nt
Filed under: Equus caballus (horse)
Lineage: Eukaryota; Metazoa; Chordata; Mammalia; Perissodactyla; Equidae
Description: lncRNA (ENSECAG00000046428.1)
Source: RNAcentral